AGAUGAUGGUGGGGGUGGUGGUGGUGGUGGUGGUGGUGGUGGAGUCUAUUAAUUGUUUUUCUUCGCCAUCACUCUCAUCACUUUCAUUAUUAUUCGUC
This 98-nucleotide microRNA precursor is filed under the name Adineta vaga. RNAcentral describes it as "microRNA mir-598". Lineage: Eukaryota; Metazoa; Rotifera; Eurotatoria; Adinetida; Adinetidae. The record is from RNAcentral.